This 76-nucleotide transfer RNA is filed under the name uncultured archaeon. RNAcentral describes it as "tRNA-Phe(gaa)". It matches the Rfam family "tRNA". From Rfam's summary of the family: Transfer RNA (tRNA) molecules are approximately 80 nucleotides in length. Their secondary structure includes four short double-helical elements and three loops (D, anti-codon, and T loops). The record is from RNAcentral.
UGGGACGGUAGCCCAGCCUGGGAGAGCGCACGGCUGAAGCCCGUGAGGCCGGGGGUUCAAAUCCCCCCCAUCCCAU